This 292-nucleotide ribosomal RNA is filed under the name uncultured bacterium. Its description in RNAcentral is "partial 16S ribosomal RNA". It matches the Rfam family "Bacterial small subunit ribosomal RNA", at positions 505 to 796 of the family's 1533-position model. The record is from RNAcentral.
GUGUCAGCCGCCGCGGUAAUACGUAGGGGCCGAGCGUUGUCCGGAGUUACUGGGCGUAAAGCGCGCGCAGGCGGUUCGUUAGGCCCGGCGUGAAAGCCCCCGGCUCAACCGGGGAGGGUCGUCGGGGACCGGCGGACUUGAGGGCGGCAGGGGCCGGUGGAAUCCCCGGUGUAGUGGUGAAAUGCGUAGAGAUCGGGGGGAACACCCGUGGCGAAGGCGGCCGGCUGGGCCGACCCUGACGCUGAGGCGCGAAGGCGUGGGGAGCGAACGGGAUUAGAAACCCUGGUAGUCC